AUUUUUUUUGGAACUUUUUUCCCAUUUUUCCUGGAAUUUUCCUCUUUUUUUCUUGGAUUUUUUUCCCUUUUUCUCCUGUUUUUUCCUGGAAUUUUUUCCUUUUUUUUUUGGGAAUUUUUCCCAUGUUUUUCCCAUUUUUUUCCCAUUUUUUUCCCAUUUUUUGGGGAUUUUUUUCCCCAUUUUUCCUGGAAUUUUCCUCUUUUUUUUCCUGGAUUUUUUUUCCUUUUUAUCCUUUUUUUCCUGGAAUUUUUUCCCUUUUUUUUGGGAAUUUUUCCCAUUUUUUUCCCAUUUUUUUCCCAUUUUUUUCCCAUUUUUUCCCCAUUUUUCCUGGAAUUUUCCUCUUUUUUUUCCUGGAAUUUUUUUUCCUUUUUUUUGGGGAAUUUUUUCCCAUUUUUUAGGGAUUUUUUUUCAUUUUUUGGGGAUUUUAUUUUCUGGAUUUUUUCCCAUUUUUAGGGAAUUUUUCCCUUUUUUUUUUUUUAAUUUUUUUCCCAUUUUUGGGGGGAUUUUUUCCCCAUUUUUCUAGGAUUUUUUCCCAUUUUUCCAUGAAAUUUCUUCCAUUUUUUUCCCAGAAUUUUUCCCAUUUUUCCAGGAUUUUUUUCCCAUUUUUCCCAGAAUUUUCCCAAGAAUUUUCCCAUUUUUCCAGGAAUUUUUCCCGGAUUUUUUCCCCAUUUUUCCAGAAUUUUUUCCCAUUUUUCCAGGAUUUUUUCUGAAUUUCUUUUCAUUUUUCCAGGAUUUUUUCCCGGAUUUUUUCCCCAUUUUUCCAGGAUUUUUUCCCAUUUUUCUCAGAAUUUUCCCAAGAAUUUUCCCAUUUUUUCUGAAUUUUUCCAGGAUUUUUUUCCCAUUUUUCCAGAAUUUUUUUCCAUUUUUCCAGGAUUUUUUUCCCAGAUUUUUCCCCCAUUUUUCCAUGAAAUUUCUUCCCAUUUUUCCAGGAUUUUUUUCUGAAUGUUUUCCCAUUUUUCCAGGAUUCUUUUCUGAUUUUUCCCAGAAUUUUUUUCCCAUUUUUCCAGGAUUUUUUCCAGGAUUUUUUUCCCCAUUUUCCAGGAUUUUUUUCCCCAUUUUCCAGGAUUUUUUUUCCCAUUUUUCCCAGAAUUUUUACCAAGAAUUUUCCCACUUUUCCAGGAAUUUUUCCAGAAUUUUUUCCCAUUUUUCCAGGAUUUUUUUUCUUAUUUUUCCAGGAUUUUUUCUGAAUUUUUUCCCAUUUUUCCAUGAAAUUUCUUCCCAUUUUUCCAGGGUUUUUUUCCCAUUUUUCCAGGAUUUUUUCCCAUUUUUCCAGGAAUUUUUCCAGGAUUUUCUCCCAUUUUUCCAUGAAAUUUCUUCCCAUUUUUCCAGGAUUUUUUCUGAAUUUUUUCCCAUUUUUCCAGGAUUUUUUCCAGGAUUUUUUUCCCCGUUUUUCCUUGAAAUUUCUUCCCAUUUUUCCAGGAUUUUUUCUGAAAUUUUUUCCCAUUUUUCCAGGAUUUUUUCCCAUUUUUCCAGGAUUUUUUCCCCAUUUUUCCAUGAAAUUUCUUCCCAUUUUUCCAGGAUUUUUUCUGAAUUUUUCCCCAUUUUUCCAGGAUUUUUUCCCCAUUUUUCCAGAAUUUUUUUCCCAUUUUUCCAGGAAUUUUUCCAGGAUUUUUUUCCCCAUUUU
Molecule: long non-coding RNA, 1624 nt
Organism: Cyanistes caeruleus (blue tit)
Lineage: Eukaryota; Metazoa; Chordata; Aves; Passeriformes; Paridae
Source: Ensembl